This 460-nucleotide ribosomal RNA is filed under the name uncultured bacterium. RNAcentral's name for it is "partial 16S ribosomal RNA". It matches the Rfam family "Bacterial small subunit ribosomal RNA", at positions 338 to 795 of the family's 1533-position model. The record is from RNAcentral.
CCUACGGGAGGCAGCAGUGAGGAAUAUUGGUCAAUGGACGAGAGUCUGAACCAGCCAAGUAGCGUGAAGGAUGACUGCCCUAUGGGUUGUAAACUUCUUUUAUAUGGGAAUAAAACGUUCCACGUGUGGGCUUUUGUAUGUACCAUAUGAAUAAGGAUCGGCUAACUCCGUGCCAGCAGCCGCGGUAAUACGGAGGAUCCGAGCGUUAUCCGGAUUUAUUGGGUUUAAAGGGAGCGUAGGUGGAUUGUUAAGUCAGUUGUGAAAGUUUGCGGCUCAACCGUAAAAUUGCAGUUGAAACUGGCAGUCUUGAGUACAGUAGAGGUGGGCGGAAUUCGUGGUGUAGCGGUGAAAUGCUUAGAUAUCACGAAGAACCCCGAUUGCGAAGGCAGCUUACUAAACUGUGACUGACAUUGAUGCUCGAAAGUGUGGGUAUCAAACAGGAUUAGAUGCCCUUGUAGUC